Non-coding RNA from Peromyscus maniculatus bairdii (prairie deer mouse), 942 nucleotides. The record is from RefSeq and is a predicted model, not a curated record. Lineage: Eukaryota; Metazoa; Chordata; Mammalia; Rodentia; Cricetidae.
UUGCGCCAUUAUCGUUGGCCCUCGCUGACCCUGUGGGACGCUGGAGGUCAGUCGGCUGGGCCUUAUUGUGGAAAAUGCACCUAUGGCCUCCACCCCUACUGCCGCCGACCCAUGGCUUGGUCCUCAAACACCUGUAGAGAUCUGAGAAUACGGCAUUUAAUAUAAAAGCCUUUUUAUGAUAAAGAGACAUGUCAGCUCCUGGCAGCAUCCUGUAUCUCCUUCAAGAAGACGGAUGGCCCCAGAAGAACUUCCGCCCAGAAGCUUAUGGCAAGGCUGGCCAUGCAGUAAAAAGCUGGGAUCCUGUCCAGACUGUGAAUAAGCGGAACAGUGGAGGACCCAUUGCCUCACACUGCAAAGUCAAGCUAUCUUAGAGAUACUACAGGCUCCUGGAAAAAGAUCUGCUACUGCAUCAAGAAAUCUGGUCUGCUGAAAACUAACAUCUCCAGAGUCCAUUUCUGACCCCACCUAUUUUUCGAGCACACUUUGCAGAUUCGCUGUUCCGGCCUGACCUCCAGAGAAACAGCAACUGCCAUGGCCUCUAUACUCCUGAUUUGGUGUGCCGUCCCCCAAGCUCCUGGAACACCACUGCUGCAGCCUGCCUCCUCGGCUUCCUCAAGGAACGCUCCUGAGAUUUUCCGCUGUGUGACUCCCAGUUCCCCCGCCCCACUCCGCCCCUUGUCAGCCUGAAGUAGCCUCAAGAAUUCAGUGCCUUUGUUCCCCCACUUGCUUCCAUAACUCACUUCUUUUUAUAAUAAUCAAAACAGAGGAAUGUUAACAUUCUAAUUCACCCCUUGAAAUCUCACCCCUUGGCACCACCCUGUGUCCUGACAUAAAAGCCUCAUUCUAAGGAAAAACUCUGCCCCUUCCUCUCUCUCUCUCUUCUUAUUAUUUUUUUCUCUCUGUCUCUCUCUUUCCUAUCUUGCUCUUCAUCUCUCUAUUAGA